GUCGGUUCGAGGGCAUUCCAUAAAAUUGGAACAAUACAAAGAAGAUUGGUCCAUGUGCAAGAAUGACAUGCACAAAUGGAGAUUUAAGUUUGAACUUUUU
This is a non-coding RNA of Cucumis sativus (cucumber), 100 nucleotides long. The record is from Rfam. Lineage: Eukaryota; Viridiplantae; Streptophyta; Magnoliopsida; Cucurbitales; Cucurbitaceae.